Molecule: long non-coding RNA, 209 nt
Filed under: Setaria italica (foxtail millet)
Lineage: Eukaryota; Viridiplantae; Streptophyta; Magnoliopsida; Poales; Poaceae
Description: long non-coding RNA (SITA_LNC006657)
Source: RNAcentral
GGGAGGCUGGUGACGGACGCGGCAGCGGGCAUGGCGUCACAUGGGAUGUGGCAAUGGCGAGGGCGUCCGAGAUGCAGGGGAGGCGGGCGACGGACGCGGCGGCAGAGACAGUGUCGCGGUGGUAGGGACGGUGUCGCGACGGCAGGAGGCCCUGCGCCUUCUUCCUCUGCUAGUCUGCUUCCUCCUUCACGCGGUUUGCUCCACGGGGG